RNAcentral lists this ribosomal RNA (2357 nucleotides) under fermentation metagenome. RNAcentral's name for it is "bacterial LSU rRNA". It matches the Rfam family "Bacterial large subunit ribosomal RNA", at positions 1 to 2303 of the family's 2925-position model. The record is from RNAcentral.
AUAAGGUAAUAAGGGCAUACGGUGGAUGCCUUGGUACCAACAGCCGAAGAAGGACGUGGCAAGCUGCGAGAAGCUGCGGCGAGGCGCAAGCGGCCUUUGACCCGCAGAUGUCCGAAUGGGGCAACCCACCUGGAGUAGUCCAGGUAUCCCGUAAGGGAAGGAACCCGGAGAAGUGAAACAUCUCAGUAUCCGGAGGAAGAGAAAUCGAAGAGAUUCCCUAAGUAGUGGUGAGCGAACGGGGAAGAGCCUAAACCAUAUACAUGUAAGGCUGCGGUCGUUGUGUAUAUGGUGUAGAGGGGCUUUUCAUGCAUAGUCCGCAGGCUAGGCACGGAGUUAUCAAGAUACUUUUUAGCAGAACUGUGUUGGGAAAGCAGGCCAUAGACGGUGAGAGCCCGGUAUGCGACAGAGAGUAUCCUCCGAGAAGAGUUCCCGAGUAGGCCGGAGCACGUGGAAUUCCGGUUGAAUCAGGGUGGACCAUCAUCCAAGGCUAAAUACUGUUGGUGACCGAUAGUGGAUGAGUACCGAGAGGGAAGGGUGAAAAGCACCCCUGGCGGGGAGUGAAAUAGACCUGAACCCGUAUGCCUACAAGCAAUCGGAGCAAGAGAUGCCGCGAGGCAUUGAAUGUGACGGUGUGCCUUUUGUAAAAUGAGCCGGCGAGUUAUUAGACGUAGCGAGGUUAAGGUGCGUAUGUGCACUGGAGCCGUAGGGAAACCGAGUCUGAAUAGGGCGCAAGUUUCGUUUAAUAGACCCGAAGCCGCACGAUCUAUCCAUGGCCAGGUUGAAGUCCGGGUGAAGCCGGAUGGAGGACCGAACCAGUUUCUGUUGAAAAAGAUUUGGAUGAGCUGUGGAUCGGAGUGAAAAGCUAAUCGAGUGCGGUGAUAGCUGGUUCUCCCCGAUAUGCAUUGAGGUGCAGCCUUACGGAAUUGAGAUAUGGGGGUAGAGCACUGGAUGGACGCGGGGGACUGGGGUCCUACCAAAUUCAACCAAACUUCGAAUACCAUAUUUUGUACCGUAGGAGUGAGACUACGGGUGAGAAGGUCCGUGGUCGUGAGGGAAACAGCCCAGACCGUCAGCUAAGGUCCCAAAGCGUAUGCUAAGUGUGGCAAGGAUGUGAGAGUGCCUGGACAGCCAGGAGGUUGGCUUAGAAGCAGCCACCCUUUAAAGAGUGCGUAACAGCUCACUGGUCGAGGACUUUUGCGCCGAGAAUGUAGGGGGCUAAGCAUACUGCCGAAGCUGCGGGAUAUGUGCAAGAGUGUAUAUAUCGGUAGGGGAGCGUUCCAUACGGGGCGAAGCAGAGCCGCGAGGUCAUGUGGACUGUAUGGAAGUGAGAAUGCUGGCAUGAGUAACGCGAAGUGCGUGAGAAACGUACUCACCGGAAGCCCAAGGGUUCCUGGGGAAGGUUCAUCCGCCCAGGGUUAGGCGGGACCUAAGGCGAGGCCGAGAGGCGUAGUCGAUGGAUAGCAGGUAGAUAUUCCUGUCCCAGCCAAUGAGCGUUAAUACCGAAGGGGUGACACAGAAAGCUAGGUGAUCCGGGUGAUGGAAGUCCCGGUCCAAGGGUGUAGGGAGUUUCCGCAGGCAAAUCCGCGGGAAUAAUUCUGAGACCUGAUGGGGAGGCCCUACGGGGUCGAAGUCAUUGAAGCUCGGCUGUCGAGAAAAGCCUCUAGGGAGUUUGUUGGUUGCUCGUACCCGAAACCGACACAGGUGGGCUAGCUGAGGAAGCUAAGGUGAGCGGGAAAACCCUCGUUAAGGAACUCUGCAAGUUGACCCCGUAACUUCGGGAGAAGGGGUGCCACUCUGGUGAAAUAUAAUCAUAUGGAGCUAAGGGUGGUCGCAGAAACCAGGCUCAGGCGACUGUUUACUAAAAACACAGGUCUCUGCAUAAGGCGUAAGCCGAAGUAUAGGGACUGACACCUGCCCGGUGCUGGAAGGUUAAAUGGAGAGGUUAGCGUAAGCGAAGCCUUGAUAUGAAGCCCCAGUAAACGGCGGCCGUAACUAUAACGGUCCUAAGGUAGCGAAAUUCCUUGUCGGGUAAGUUCCGACCUGCACGAAUGGUGUAACGAUCUGAGCACUGUCUCAACGAGGGACCCGGUGAAAUUGUGGUACUGGUAAAGACGCCAGUUACCUGUGGUGGGACGGAAAGACCCCGUGGAGCUUUACUGUAGCCUGAUAUUGGAUUUUGGUCUGUCAUGUACAGGAUAGGUGGGAGGCGUAGAAUGGAGGGCGUCAGCCUUUCAGGAGCCGUUGUUGGGAUACCACCCUUGACAUACCGAAGUUCUAACUGUUGAGUCUGAAUCGGCUGGCAGGACAUUGUCAGGUGGGCAGUUUGACUGGGGCGGUCGCCUCCUAAAGAGUAACGG